GAGCCCGUGGCUCAAUGGUUAGAGCGUUUGAAUUCUGAUCAACGGGGUGCGGGUUCG
Molecule: transfer RNA, 57 nt
Filed under: Schistocephalus solidus
Lineage: Eukaryota; Metazoa; Platyhelminthes; Cestoda; Diphyllobothriidea; Diphyllobothriidae
Rfam family: tRNA
About the family: Transfer RNA (tRNA) molecules are approximately 80 nucleotides in length. Their secondary structure includes four short double-helical elements and three loops (D, anti-codon, and T loops).
Source: Rfam by way of RNAcentral